UAGGGAAUCUUCCGCAAUGGGCGAAAGCCUGACGGAGCAACGCCGCGUGAGUGAUGAAGGUCUUCGGAUCGUAAAACUCUGUUAUUAGGGAAGAACAAAUGUGUAAGUAACUAUGCACGUCUUGACGGUACCUAAUCAGAAAGCCACGGCUAACUACGUGCCAGCAGCCGCGGUAAUACGUAGGUGGCAAGCGUUAUCCGGAAUUAUUGGGCGUAACGCGCGCGUAGGCGGUUUUUUAUGUCUGAUGUAAAAGCCCACGGCUCAACCGUGGAGGGUCAUUGGAAACUGGAAAACUUGAGUGCAUAAGAGGAAAGUGGAAUUCCAUGUGUAGCGGUGAAAUGCGCAGAGAUAUGGAGGAACACCAGGGGCGGGGGCGACUUUCUGGUCUGAAACUGACGCUGAUGUGCGAGAGCGGGGGGAUCAAACAGG
This 429-nucleotide ribosomal RNA is filed under the name Actinomycetes bacterium. RNAcentral describes it as "Actinobacteria bacterium partial 16S ribosomal RNA". It matches the Rfam family "Bacterial small subunit ribosomal RNA", at positions 355 to 776 of the family's 1533-position model. The record is from RNAcentral. Lineage: Bacteria; Bacillati; Actinomycetota; Actinomycetes.